This 4591-nucleotide long non-coding RNA is filed under the name Xyrichtys novacula (pearly razorfish). The record is from RNAcentral. Lineage: Eukaryota; Metazoa; Chordata; Actinopteri; Labriformes; Labridae.
UGGAGUUUGAUCGCUCCUGUUUGUAAAUGGAUCCACAGGAGUCUUUUGAUAUUAAAGGGAUGUUCCGGUGUAAAAUUAAUUUAGGGUCAAACACACAGUAACACAGAGUUAGACACCCCCUCCAGAGAUGAAAGUUGCCGACCGCUUGCUUCUCUAAAUACCGACUUUAGUAACGACCGCAUGAUAGCAAUACAGAGAGUUACGCGCUCAACCAAAACGCCACUCUAUAGCCACAAAUAAUGCUCAGAACAGCACCUAACUUCAUCAACAGGACAUAUAGGGUCACAGCCAUAGUACUAGACACCAAACAUCUUUUUAACUUUGACUCAUUUCUUUAGCAAAGAGACUAAACACAACUCACCUACUCUCUUCCAGCAGCUGCUUGUUUGUAGCGAGACCUCAGGCCAGUCCAUAACAGACUACAGCGGGGUGCCGCAGCUCAAAGAAGAACAUUUAUGAUCAUUUCUUUAUCAUUUCCUUGAAGUAAUAAUCAUUUUACAGACGCUGUAGUUCUUCUGUCUUAUCGUCUCGGUCUGAUUGUAUUUCCAUGAAGAAAUGAUCAUAAAUGUUCUUCCUUGAGCUGCGGCACCCCACUGUAGUCUGUAAUGGACUGGCCUGAGGUCUCGCUUCAAACAAGCAGCAAAAUUUGCAUCCUUUAUUACUUUCCGGUCACAUCCUUUGUUCUGGACUUUACAUUCAUGUCCCCAGACCUCCCCUGUCACCAGGUUGUAGAGGAUAUCAGGGUGUAUUUUGUUUACUCUGAUGACAUCUUGGAGCACAACGUGGUUUGGCAGUUAUAUCGGAUUAAACAGGGAUAUAAUCACAUGCAUGUAAACGUGAACCUGACAUUAGCCACCCUUUUGAAAACCAGUGUGACAUUGUUCACCUGCAGACUCAGUGUCCCUGUGUUUAUCCAUAAUAAAUUAGGGUGACCGUACGUCCUCUUUUACCUGGACAUGUCCUCUUUUUAGGGUUGUCCAGCCUUGUCCGGAGGAGUUUGUAAAAUCCUUAAAAGUUUUGAGUUUGUGUUGUGUGGAAUUAACUGAGUUAGAAGCACGUAAAAACACUCGAUCUGCUCAAAAAAACUCUAAAAAUUGACAAUGUGCAACUCUGUGACUCCGCCCCAUGUAGUAGUGUCCUCUUUUGGGGGAUUCAGAAUAUGGUCAUCCUAGCAAAUCAGUACGACAUAUAAUAUUUCUGCUACCUGAGUGUUUUCUUACCUUCAGUAAGAAAAUUAAUUCCUUCAGAAUAUCCCCGUUAUUAGAUGCUCUUUCGUACUUAGCUCUUAGCUUUAGCUCAUACAGCAGGAUGAAUGUUUCACCUUGCUGUUAGUUAAAGUUCAGUCAUAUCUAAAUAAAGUCUAAAUGAAAUGAAUGAAUGUCAGUUUCCUUUUCCUGUGUUUUGAUGAGUUGAACCUUUUUGUCUCCUCUUUCUGCUCUCUAAUCUCUCUCUCCAGUUCACACAUCGUAAUUCUCCAGGUCCUCGCUCGCCCUCUCCUCCCUUCCCUAAUUCCUGGCUCUGCGGGUAAUCCCCGCGCGCCACCAACUCCCAGCCGUGAUGGUCCUCGGGUUAAGAAACCACUUUUGCCCACCCACUCUUGAAGACACUCAUUAGGCUGUGCUGAGCAGGAAUCCUGAUCUACACCAUUACAGAGGUGAUCCUCUUAUGCAAACUGCUCUUCACACCCCGUCCACAAAGCGGGAAUGCUCAUGAGCUCAAAUCCACGAAGGCGCUGGCUGCCAGAUUAUCCACAGCCCACAAUGGUGCAGCUGCCGUUUCUCCCUUUUUGAUGGAACAAUGCGUUUUGUCGGGUGCAUUCACGGCUGGGACUGAUCCUGGCACAGACAUGUGGAUGACUUAGCGAUCAUGUGUAUGUGAGUGGAUAUUUAGGACAGAUCACAUGAGAUUGUUGUGCUUGGCUUGUAUACAAACAGGACAUUCUUCUCCUCCCGGAGCAAAAACAAACCUGACCGUUUGGUUGUUCGUAACUUGAGGCGCCGCCGGCCGUAGGAUCAGGGAACACGCUCUUUGAUGAGGGCAGUAUCGGCCUCUUAGCAAACUGCAUUCAGGCUGACAUGUGGUUCCAGCCAGUCAGCAAAAUGCAACCUGGCUGGCCUGCUCUUUCCGCUCAGCACAUCAGAGGUAACCGGCCUUAUCUGAUGUGACACGGCUGACACUGCCCUGAGAGCUGCGAGGAGGAGACCCUGCCGAUGAUUAAUUCAAGCUCGGGAAACAUGAUGAGGAUUAGCUCGCUCUGUGUUUACCCCUGCAGACGUCUCUCCUAAACUCAGGACGAGUCUCUGGCAUGACAAGGGGCUGUGUAAUAAGGCUGAAUCAUCAGCGGAGAAUGAUGGCGAUGGGAAAACUAGUCGAGGCCAGACCGAGGAGUGUGAAUCCAGAGAAGUGACUCAGCAGCACUACCACUCUUUGUCUUUGUGCAGCUCGGUGUAGAUGCCAGCUCUCGGAGUGGUGGCCUGCAGACCUCGGUCAGACAGAACGUCCAAAUUAUUCUGCUCGCUUUAACACCGUCAUAAAGUAAGUGAGCGAGCUGCUUCAGACAACCUCGCUGUUCAAUCGCAGGAAAGCGUCCGGACUCUCCCUCGUUCAUUCACAUAGUUCAGGGAGUUAACUUACUUUAGCUCAUUCACAAAACAAAACACAACAUCUAUUUACCGUAAUGGUUAAAUUUAAUCAUCCCGAUUUAGCCAAAUAUUAGAUUAGUCUGAAUCAUUAAUCGACCAAUAAAGCCAAAGUGGAAAUGCCGGAGAAAGUGAGUCAGGCAUCAUUAACUGUCCUGUAUACAAAUCUUUAUUUUACAGUUACUGUCAGAGCCAAAUAUGUUGAUAUGAUACAUUUUGAAUUUUCUGUUGACAAUGUUUGACAAUAAGAAUAAACGUAAUGAAUGUUUAGCAUGUAAACAGAAGAUGAACUGAUUAGACUAGAUUAAUAAACUAGAUUAAUGUUGUAUCCUCUCUACAAGGCCGGCCUCUUGAUUAUGUAAUGAUGCAGAUGUCACCAUAAGACCCGUGUCACUACAGUUUGGCUUUAGUGCAGCAGUAUCACAACAAAUGUGCGUUUUAUCAGACCGUCACAAACACUACAUAAGGGUUCCUUGAUCCCUCAGACUCCCUGGAUUUGGACUAAAAUGGUUAAAUCUCAAGUCAUGACUUUUUUUUAGUGGCGAAGGGAGGAGGGAAACAUCAUCACGACCACAGAGAUCCACAGACUUCAUCGGCUCGUUCAGGAGAAGUUAUUCGGUCCUGAAUAUUGAUGGAGUUUGACUCCCAAAUAAAAACACUUGUGAUGACUUCUCCAUCAAAACACAUUCCCGUCCUCGUGCCUGCUCAUGAAUAACAACACUAUGACAUUAACAACUCCUACUCAUCCUCCUACGACGCUGUGCCUAUAACUUUUGUGUCCAGUAUGGAGGUGUGAACAAAUCACACUGCAGGGAAAUCUACUGGCUCAUUGACUUUAUUGCACACCCCUCCAGCUCCAGCUCCCAGUGAAUGAAGACUUGUUUUCAGGGUACUGCUGCUGCUGCUGCCUCUGUUAAUACACACUUUGUAGCUGUGCCUCUAAAACUCUGAUUCUAUCUUCUGGCUCCGUGUUUCUGCUGGGAAAAAAACCUCUGCAGUGGGACUCUCCGCUGAUCUUCUAUAAAGGGGAAAAGGUUGCUCUUUGCCUGUAUAAGAAUAAUGAAGUUAUUUGUGUGCAGCUCAAGUCUCUCUCAGAUAGUCUUUUCCUCUAGUUAUGCAGCUCCAAACACUGAAACCUUCAUGCAGUUUCACUCAGGGCUGUUACUCAUGCUCACAAGAAUAAACUGUCUCCGGCCCAAGGGGAUGAAGGUGAUGAGGAGGUAAACAGUAACAGGAAGGAGCAGCUUAGGAACAAUUAAAGGUCCUAUAUUAUACUCCUUUUUCAGCAGGUUCACAAAUGUCUCAGACGUCCCACAAUAGUCCAUUUGAAGUUUGUUGUCUAAAAAUUGAGAACCAUAAUUUUGAACGGGUUGUUGCGCUCUCUCUGGCCGGGGAAGAGUGCACAAUUGGUGGCCACACACCUCCAGAGCAUCCCCCAUUAAUACUUAAUAUAGGAGCGAGCUUAAUACACAAAGCGAGCUACUCUGUCACAUCACCAGCUGGUUUCUGAAAUCGAUCGGUAGUUUAAAUAAAGUUUUUAAGGUGAAAAAAAUGUGCACUCGUGCAGUUUAGAAAGUGACAGGCGGACAUGAAAAUGAAAUAGCAAUUGCCCGUUUGGUUUUUCUUUUGAAUUGUGUUACGAAAUGUGCAGCUCAAUGAGAAAAUUUCAGAGUUAAAUUACGAAGUUUUGGCUUUGAGACGAAAAAGCCUUACUGCAAAUGCAUUUGAAUUUUCAGAUGUGACAUUUGAAAUUAAAUUUUGGUAUAUUUGUUGGGGCAUAUUUUGAAAAUUAAAUGAAAUAAACAGAAUGAUCCAAUCAGAAAAAGCAAUUGCAGUUCGGAUUAUUUAUUUUUAAUUUUAUUUAUGAGUCAAAAAGUGCAGCUACAUUCUAAAAAUACAAAUGCAUUUCUAUUUUAAUUUGAAUUAUGACACUAAUUUGCUUCCAUAAGAAA